AGAGAACAAGGAAAAAGAAAUAAUAGAUUAAAAACUGCCUUGAUAGGAAGAUUUUAGCCUUCAGAUGAAAAUAACCCACUUUCUUCUUCUUCUUCUUUUUUUUUUUUUUUUGUGUGUGUGUGUGUGUUUGUAUGUAUGUGGGGAUGGGGGUUGGUUAUGUGUUGCUGGGAAUGGAACCAGAGGCCUUGCACAUGCUAAGCAAGCAGGCAUUCUA
RNAcentral lists this small RNA (214 nucleotides) under Marmota monax (woodchuck). Lineage: Eukaryota; Metazoa; Chordata; Mammalia; Rodentia; Sciuridae. The record is from RNAcentral.